This 403-nucleotide ribosomal RNA is filed under the name Fusobacteriota bacterium. RNAcentral's name for it is "Fusobacteria bacterium partial 16S ribosomal RNA". It matches the Rfam family "Bacterial small subunit ribosomal RNA", at positions 355 to 776 of the family's 1533-position model. Lineage: Bacteria; Fusobacteriati; Fusobacteriota. The record is from RNAcentral.
UGGGGAAUAUUGCACAAUGGGGGAAACCCUGAUGCAGCGACGCCGCGUGAGCGAAGAAGGUUUUCGAAUCGUAAAGCUCUGUCCUAUGGGAAGAUAAUGACGGUACCAUAGGAGGAAGCCCCGGCGAACUACGUGCCAGCAGCCGCGGUAAUACGUAGGGGGCAAGCGUUGUCCGGAAUCACUGGGCGUAAAGGGUUCGCAGGCGGAAAUGCAAGUCAGUUGUGAAAGGCAGAGGCUCAACCUCUGUAAGCAAUUGAAACUGUAUUUCUUGAGAUGUGGAGAGGCAAGUGGAAUUCCUAGUGUAGCGGUGAAAUGCGUAGAUAUUAGGAAGAAUACCGGUGGCGAAGGCGACUUGCUGGACACAAACUGACGCUGAGGAACGAAAGCGUGGGUAGCAAACAGG